Molecule: unclassified non-coding RNA, 241 nt
Filed under: uncultured fungus
Lineage: Eukaryota; Fungi
Description: sequence contains ITS2
Rfam family: 5.8S ribosomal RNA (bases 1-52)
Source: RNAcentral
AACGCACAUUGCGCCCUUUGGUAUUCCGAAGGGCAUGCCUGUUCGAGCGUCAUUUCACCACUCAAGCCUGGCUUGGUAUUGGGCGUCGCGGCUUCGCGCGCCUUAAAGUCUCCGGCUGAGCUGUCUGUCUCUAAGCGUUGUGGAAUUUAACUAUUUUCGCUUCGGAGUGCAGGCGGCCGCGGCCGUUAAAUCUUUAUUCAAGGUUGACCUCGGAUCAGGUAGGGAUACCCGCUGAACUUAA